GAGCACACCAGCCAGCCCUACUUAGGGACUUUUUUGGAACCUUAUUUACAGUUGUAUUGAUGACAUGGAUUUUUCUCAAGCCUGUAUUCACAAAGACUCUAUUAGGUCUGUUAUCUUGGGUAGAAGAGCUGGAGAUAUAUGAAUGACUGGAUGGUUUUCAUUAUUUUGGUCACAUAAUACCAAUAUAGGUCAUUGUCCUAUAGAAUUUGGACAGUAGGGGUUUUUUUAAUGCUGUUUAAAAGUAACUGCUUGGGAAAUCUUUUUGCAGUGACUACU
RNAcentral lists this long non-coding RNA (276 nucleotides) under Bos taurus (domestic cattle). Its description in RNAcentral is "long non-coding RNA NONBTAT024667". Lineage: Eukaryota; Metazoa; Chordata; Mammalia; Artiodactyla; Bovidae. The record is from RNAcentral.